UGUCCAAUGGUGUAGUGGUAGCACAACAGAUUUUGGUUCUGUUAGCGGAGGUUCGAAUCCUCCUUGGAUAA
RNAcentral lists this transfer RNA (71 nucleotides) under Clostridium sp. RNAcentral's name for it is "tRNA-Gln". It matches the Rfam family "tRNA". From Rfam's summary of the family: Transfer RNA (tRNA) molecules are approximately 80 nucleotides in length. Lineage: Bacteria; Bacillati; Bacillota; Clostridia; Eubacteriales; Clostridiaceae. RNAcentral also lists the same sequence under 6 other names. The record is from RNAcentral.